RNAcentral lists this ribosomal RNA (305 nucleotides) under uncultured bacterium. RNAcentral describes it as "bacterial SSU rRNA". It matches the Rfam family "Bacterial small subunit ribosomal RNA", at positions 334 to 655 of the family's 1533-position model. The record is from RNAcentral.
GCGCCCUACGGGAGGCAGCAGUGGGGAAUAUUGCACAAUAGGGGAAACCCUGAUGCAGCGACGCCGCGUGGGUGAAGAAGUAUUUCGGUAUGUAAAGCCCUAUCAGCAGGGAAGAAAAAUGACGGUACCUGACUAAGAAGCACCGGCUAAAUACGUGCCAGCAGCCGCGGUAAUACGUAUGGUGCAAGCGUUAUCCGGAUUUACUGGGUGUAAAGGGAGCGCAGGCGGCACGCUAAGCCUGAUGUGAAAACCCGCGGCCCAACCGCGGGAGUGCAUUGGGAACUGGCGGGCUGGAGUCCCGGAGG